This 225-nucleotide ribosomal RNA is filed under the name uncultured Sediminibacterium sp. RNAcentral's name for it is "partial 16S ribosomal RNA". It matches the Rfam family "Bacterial small subunit ribosomal RNA", at positions 568 to 792 of the family's 1533-position model. The record is from RNAcentral. Lineage: Bacteria; Pseudomonadati; Bacteroidota; Chitinophagia; Chitinophagales; Chitinophagaceae.
UGCGUAGGCGGGUAGGUAAGUCAGUGGUGAAAUCCUGGAGCUCAACUCCAGAACUGCCAUUGAUACUAUCUAUCUUGAAUAUUGUGGAGGUAAGCGGAAUAUGUCAUGUAGCGGUGAAAUGCUUAGAUAUGACAUAGAACACCCAUUGCGAAGGCAGCUUACUACGCAUAUAUUGACGCUGAGGCACGAAAGCGUGGGGAUCAAACAGGAUUAGAUACCCCUGUA